CAGCCGCCGCGGUAAUACGAAGGGGGCUAGCGUUGUUCGGAUUUACUGGGCGUAAAGCGCACGUAGGCGGAUCGAUCAGUCAGGGGUGAAAUCCCAGAGCUCAACUCUGGAACUGCCUUUGAUACUGUCGAUCUGGAGUACGGAAGAGGUGAGUGGAAUUCCCAGUGUAGAGGUGAAAUUCGUAGAUAUUGGGAAGAACACCGGUGGCGAAGGCGGCGACCUGGUCCUUGACUGACGCUGAGGCGCGAAAGCGUGGGGAGCAAACAGGAUUAGAUACCCCUGUAGUCCCUGUCUCUUAUAA
This 301-nucleotide ribosomal RNA is filed under the name uncultured bacterium. RNAcentral's name for it is "partial 16S ribosomal RNA". It matches the Rfam family "Bacterial small subunit ribosomal RNA", at positions 509 to 809 of the family's 1533-position model. The record is from RNAcentral.